RNAcentral lists this ribosomal RNA (497 nucleotides) under uncultured bacterium. RNAcentral describes it as "partial 16S ribosomal RNA". It matches the Rfam family "Bacterial small subunit ribosomal RNA", at positions 28 to 507 of the family's 1533-position model. The record is from RNAcentral.
GAUGAACGCUGGCGGCGUGCCUAAUACAUGCAAGUCGAGCGAACAGACGAGGAGCUUGCUCCUCUGACGUUAGCGGCGGACGGGUGAGUAACACGUGGAUAACCUACCUAUAAGACUGGGAUAACUUCGGGAAACCGGAGCUAAUACCGGAUAAUAUAUUGAACCGCAUGGUUCAAUAGUGAAAGACGGUUUUGCUGUCACUUAUAGAUGGAUCCGCGCCGCAUUAGCUAGUUGGUAAGGUAACGGCUUACCAAGGCAACGAUGCGUAGCCGACCUGAGAGGGUGAUCGGCCACACUGGAACUGAGACACGGUCCAGACUCCUACGGGAGGCAGCAGUAGGGAAUCUUCCGCAAAGGGCGAAAGCCUGACGGAGCAACGCCGCGUGAGUGAUGAAGGUCUUCGGAUCGUAAAACUCUGUUAUUAGGGAAGAACAAAUGUGUAAGUAACUAUGCACGUCUUGACGGUACCUAAACAGAAAGCCACGGCUAACUACGUG